AAUAGAUACCCCGGGUAGUCCACGCCGUAAACGAUGAGUGCUAAGUGUUAGAGGGUUUCCGCCCGUUUAGUGCUGAAGUUAACGCAUUAAGCACUCCGCCUGGGGGAGUACGGCCGCAAGGCUGAAACUCAAAGGAAUUGACGGGGGGCCCGCACAAGCGGUGGAGCAUGUGGUUUAAUUCGAAGCAACGCGAAGAACCUUACCAGGUCUUGACAUCCUCUGACAACCCUAGAGAUAGGGCUUCUCCUUCGGGAGCAAAGUGACAGGUGGUGCAUGGUUGUCGUCAGCUCGUGUCGUGAGAUGUUGGGUUAAGUCCCGCAACGAGCGCAACCCUUGAUCUUAGUUGCCAUCAUUAAGUUGGGCACUCUAAGGUGACUGCCGGUGACAAACCGGAGGAAGGUGGGGAUGACGUACAAAUCAUCAUGCCCCUUAUGACCGUGGGCUACACACGUGCUACAAUGGACGGUACAAAGAGCUGCAACGACCGCGGAGGUGGAGACUAAUCUCAACUAAAACCGUUCUCUAGUUCGGUAGUUGUAGGCUGCUAACUCCG
This 553-nucleotide ribosomal RNA is filed under the name uncultured bacterium. RNAcentral's name for it is "bacterial SSU rRNA". It matches the Rfam family "Bacterial small subunit ribosomal RNA", at positions 777 to 1314 of the family's 1533-position model. The record is from RNAcentral.